UUUAAUAUUUCUAUGAUGAGUCAUUAAGUCACCUUAUAUCUUUGUAGCUUACCUUUGAAGCCUAACUUGUGGUUAGCCAGAACAUUCCCAAAAGGCAUCUCCAAAGAGGGCGAGAUAACGCUCGGACAGAUAGCUGCAUCCUAGCUUGCGAGCUCCUCAUGCUGAAAACAGCCAUAAAGUCAAUGAAAGAUGAGUCAGCAACCUAUCACCAAUCUCUGUCAGUGCAUGCAGCACCUCCAGCUCCGCAGUAGGAUGCCAGCUGGUCUUCUGUUAACAUGGAAGGAAGAAGCCUGAAUUCAAAGCAGCCAAGUACUAAAGUU
Molecule: long non-coding RNA, 320 nt
Filed under: Coturnix japonica (Japanese quail)
Lineage: Eukaryota; Metazoa; Chordata; Aves; Galliformes; Phasianidae
Description: lncRNA (ENSCJPG00005008591.1)
Source: RNAcentral